AAUGUGUAUAAUUCUAGACACACCAGUAGAAAAGCUAGGGUGAAAUGGAAAAGCUAAAACAUCUCUGAGAAUAGCUUCUAUCUUUAACACACUCAAGUUUGCUAUAAUGCUAGAAUUAAAACUGGUUUAAUUAAAUAACAGGUAGCAAAUUUUAAAUAUCACAAACAUGAAACAUAUUUAUUGCCUUUUAAAAAAAUCAAGAUCUUUUCAGGCUUGCAUGCUUAAGUAUUUCUGUGAUAAAGGUAUUUGUACCAAGAAUUAUACUUCCAUUUUAAAAUAGACAACAAAAUAUCAAAAAGUCUAAAGCAACAAAAUAUUUUAGGUUAUCUUGAUCUCAGAUCCAGUUGUAAACUACUAUAUAUAUUAUGUGUCAGAAUAUAAAACAUGCCAUUAUCUGAUACAAUGAACAUACAGUCAACAUGUGCACUGCACAGUAGAGAGUUUGACUUAGGCAUUUUCAUUGUCUGACUGUCUGUACUUCACACAAGUUACAACCUAUGUUACCCUUUAUUCUCCUAUCCCAAACUUUCCAGUGAGCCUAUGCCUAAGUAUCAGGAAGUCUUUAUGUGAAAGAAGUUAAAAAAAAAAUAAGGGAAGAUUAUAGCUGUAAAUGCCUAUUUUUUAAAAGAAGAUAGAUCAAAAGAAUGAAAAAAACAAGCCACAAAUUUGGUGGAUAUAUUUGCAUAAGACAUAUCUGACAAAGAACCAUUAUCCAAAAUAUACAAAGAACUCUUAAAACUCAACAGUAAGAUAGCAACUUGAUUUAAAAGUGGGCCAAAAACCUUAGCAGACACCUCACCAAAAAGACAUAGGUAUAUGAAAUACUCCACAUCUUAUGUCAUUAGGGACAUAAAUUGUAAAAACAAAAACGAGAUACCACUAACGCUCUAUUAGAAUGACUAAAAUCCAGAACACUGACAAUACCUAAUGUUGGAGAGGAUGUGGAGCAAUAGGGACUCUCAUUCAUUGGUGAUGAGAAUGCAAAGCGGUACAGCCACCGUAGAAUAUAGUUUUGCAGUCUCUUACAAAACUAACCACACUCCCACUACACAAUCUCCAAUCGUGCUUCUUGUUAUCUAAUCAAAUGAGUUGAACACUAGGUUAUAGUUUGGCUGUUAAGUGUCUCCCAAAGGAUUAUAUUCCAUUCAUAUGAGGGAAUAUUUUCAGGAUAUUCAUAUGCCCCCAAUCCUAGCCCCUCCCUGUUUCUCUUUGCUUCCUUGCCACUAUGGGGUAAGCAGCUUUCCUCUGCCAUGUGCCUCUGCCUCUCCAUAGGCCCAGAAGCAAUGAUGCCACAAGUACACAGACUAAAACCACUGAUACCCUUAGCUAAAAUAAACAUUUCUUCCUUUUAAGUUGUUUAUAUUAGGUAUUUUUUCACAGUGACAGGAAGCUAACACAAUUUAUGCCCAUAGGCACACACACACACAC
RNAcentral lists this long non-coding RNA (1428 nucleotides) under Marmota monax (woodchuck). Lineage: Eukaryota; Metazoa; Chordata; Mammalia; Rodentia; Sciuridae. The record is from RNAcentral.